RNAcentral lists this ribosomal RNA (339 nucleotides) under uncultured bacterium. RNAcentral's name for it is "bacterial SSU rRNA". It matches the Rfam family "Bacterial small subunit ribosomal RNA", at positions 29 to 399 of the family's 1533-position model. The record is from RNAcentral.
AGCGAACGCUGGCGGCAGGCUUAACACAUGCAAGUCGAACGGAUCCUUCGGGAUUAGUGGCGGACGGGUGAGUAACACGUGGGAACGUGCCUUUUUGGUUCGGAACAACACAGGGAAACUUGUGCUAAUACCGGAUGUGCCCUUGGGGAAAGAUUAUCGCCAUUAGAGCGGCCCGCGUCUGAUUAGCUAGUUGGUGAGGUAAAGGCUCACCAAGGCUACGAUCAGUAGCUGGCUGAGAGGAUGAUCAGCCACACUGGACUGAGACACGGCCCAGACUCCUACGGGAGGCAGCAGUGGGGAAUCUUGCGCAAUGGGGGAAACCCUGACGCAGCCAUGCCG